CCUACGGGUGGCAGCAGUGAGGAAUAUUGGUCACUGGACGAGAGUCUGAACCAGCCAAGUAGCGUGAAGGAUGACUGCCCUAUGGGUUGUAAACUUCUUUUAUAAAGGAAUAAAACGAGGCACGUGUGCCUUUUUGCAUGUACUUUAUGAAUAAGGAUCGGCUAACUCCGUGCCAGCAUCCGCAGUAAUACGGAGGAUCCGAGCGUUAUCCGGAUUUAUUGGGUUUAAAGGGAGUGUAGAUUGGUUGUUAAGUCAGUUGGUAACGUUUUCGGCUCAACCGUAAAAUUGCAAUUGAUACUGGCAGUCUUGAGUACAGUUGAGGUAGGCAGAAUUCGUGGUGUAGCGGUGAAUUGCUUAGAUAGCAAGAAGAACCCCGAUUGCGAAGGCAGCUUACUAAACUGUGACUGACAUUGAUGCUCGAAAGUGUGGGUAUCAAACAGGAUUAGAUACCCGAGUAGUC
This 460-nucleotide ribosomal RNA is filed under the name uncultured bacterium. RNAcentral's name for it is "partial 16S ribosomal RNA". It matches the Rfam family "Bacterial small subunit ribosomal RNA", at positions 338 to 795 of the family's 1533-position model. The record is from RNAcentral.